UAGAUUGUGGUGUCGGAUCAGGG
This 23-nucleotide non-coding RNA is filed under the name Drosophila melanogaster (fruit fly). Lineage: Eukaryota; Metazoa; Arthropoda; Insecta; Diptera; Drosophilidae. The record is from RNAcentral.